AGAGUUUGAUCCUGGCUCAGAUUGAACGCUGGCGGCAGGCCUAACACAUGCAAGUCGAACGGUAGCACAGAGAGCUUGCUCUCGGGUGACGAGUGGCGGACGGGUGAGUAAUGUCUGGGAAACUGCCUGAUGGAGGGGGAUAACUACUGGAAACGGUAGCUAAUACCGCAUAACGUCGCAAGACCAAAGAGGGGGACCUUCGGGCCUCUUGCCAUCAGAUGUGCCCAGAUGGGAUUAGCUAGUAGGCGGGGUAAUGGCCCACCUAGGCGACGAUCCCUAGCUGGUCUGAGAGGAUGACCAGCCACACUGGAACUGAGACACGGUCCAGACUCCUACGGGAGGCAAGCAGUGGGGAAUAUUGCACAAUGGGCGCAAGCCUGAUGCAGCCAUGCCGCGUGUGUGAAGAAGGCCUUCGGGUUGUAAAGCACUUUCAGCGGGGAGGAAGGCGGUACGGUUAAUAACCGUGCUGAUUGACGUUACCCGCAGAAGAAGCACCGGCUAACUCCGUGCCAGCAGCCGCGGUAAUACGGAGGGUGCAAGCGUUAAUCGGAAUUACUGGCGUAAAGCGCACGCAGCGGUCUUGUCAAGUCGAUGUGAAAUCCCGGCUCAACCUGGGACUGCAUUCGAAACUGGCAGGCUGGAAU
RNAcentral lists this ribosomal RNA (644 nucleotides) under Klebsiella pneumoniae. RNAcentral describes it as "bacterial SSU rRNA". It matches the Rfam family "Bacterial small subunit ribosomal RNA", at positions 8 to 647 of the family's 1533-position model. Lineage: Bacteria; Pseudomonadati; Pseudomonadota; Gammaproteobacteria; Enterobacterales; Enterobacteriaceae. The record is from RNAcentral.